AUUGAACGCUGGCGGCAGGCUUAACACAUGCAAGUCGAGCGGGGUGAUGGUGCUUGCACUAUCACUUAGCGGCGGACGGGUGAGUAAUGCUUAGGAAUCUGCCUAUUAGUGGGGGACAACAUCUCGAAAGGGAUGCUAAUACCGCAUACGUCCUACGGGAGAAAGCAGGGGAUCACUUGUGACCUUGCGCUAAUAGAUGAGCCUAAGUCGGAUUAGCUAGUUGGUGGGGUAAAGGCCUACCAAGGCGACGAUCUGUAGCGGGUCUGAGAGGAUGAUCCGCCACACUGGGACUGAGACACGGCCCAGACUCCUACGGGAGGCAGCAGUGGGGAAUAUUGGACAAUGGGGGGAACCCUGAUCUAGCCAUGCCGCGUGUGUGAAGAAGGCCUUAUGGUUGUAAAGCACUUUAAGCGAGGAGGAGGCUCUUUUGGUUAAUACCCAGAAUGAGUGGACGUUACUCGCAGAAUAAGCACCGGCUAACUCUGUGCCAGCAGCCGCGGUAA
RNAcentral lists this ribosomal RNA (503 nucleotides) under uncultured bacterium. Its description in RNAcentral is "partial 16S ribosomal RNA". It matches the Rfam family "Bacterial small subunit ribosomal RNA", at positions 30 to 523 of the family's 1533-position model. The record is from RNAcentral.